CCUACGGGUGGUAGCAGUGAGGAAUAUUGGUCAAUGGCCGAGAGGCUGAACCAGCCAAGUCGCGUGAGGGAAGACGGCCCUACGGGUUGUAAACCUCUUUUGUCGGGGAGCAAAGCGAACCACGUGUGGUUCAUUGAGAGUACCCGAAGAAAAAGCAUCGGCUAACACCGUGCCAGCAGCCGCGGUAAUACGGAGGAUGCGAGCGUUAUCCGGAUUUAUUGGGUUAAAGGGGUGCGCAGGCGGAGGUGCAAGUCAGCGGUAAAAUUGCGGGGCUCAACCCCGUACUGCCGUUGAAACUGCAGCCCUUGAGUGCGCGAGAGGUGUGCGGAAUUCGUGGUGUAGCGGUGAAAUGCUUAGAUAUCACGAAGAACCCCGAUUGCGAAGGCAGCUUACUAAACUGUGACUGACAUUGAUGCUCGAAAGUGUGGGUAUCAAACAGGAUUAGAUACCCGUGUAGUC
This 459-nucleotide ribosomal RNA is filed under the name uncultured bacterium. RNAcentral's name for it is "partial 16S ribosomal RNA". It matches the Rfam family "Bacterial small subunit ribosomal RNA", at positions 338 to 795 of the family's 1533-position model. The record is from RNAcentral.